Long non-coding RNA from Neoarius graeffei (lesser salmon catfish), 3352 nucleotides. RefSeq lists it as uncharacterized. NCBI's taxonomy places the organism in Eukaryota, Metazoa, Chordata, Actinopteri, Siluriformes, Ariidae. The transcript is spliced from 3 exons. The record is from RefSeq and is a predicted model, not a curated record.
CCACUGGAUCGUCCUUUCACUCAUCUCUCCUUACAGAACAACAUUUAAGGAGAAAAUUUUCGGUUAAAACUUCGGUUAAAAUUUUCGGUUAAAAACUUCGGUUCCGGAAGUCUUGAGUCGACUCCUUAGCUGAUUCAGUGAGUCGAUUCACUUCACUUCGCUUCAGUUGACUGAGCUUUAUUCAGAGUCUCUGUGUCUCUGUCAAGAUUCAUUUCCUGGAAUUUUCUCCUCAAUCUGUCGAGACCGAAAAAGUCUGAAGGAAAAGGAAUCAGCUGAAACUUACAGCAGUUGUGUGAGUGGAAUGAGGACGAUGGGAUCAGUUUCGUGGUGAAAGAACAAAUGAAGGCAGGAGUUUGUUCAGAUCCCGAAGCAGGAGAUGAGAAUGUGAUUUACAGGAACAUGGAACACAUCUCACACCCUUUCCAGGAAACCAGAUGUGCUUUGAACACCAACAUGCUUUCAGCAACACUGCUGUGGGAAACACCCUGCUGGGUUCUAGCACCGGUUCUCUUUGGAUCCUUCCUCAGUUCCCUCUGUUUUAUCCUUUAUUCUCUUUAAGCAGUUACACAUGUUCACUUUAAAAUCUCACAUCCAUACUGAGAUCACCUUCUACAGAUUACUGGCUCUACAUUUAUGAUUUGCAAUUAUUUCGACGGGCAGCACGGUGGUGUAGUGGUUAGCGCUGUUGCCUCACAGCAAGAAGGUCCUGAGUUCGAGCCCCGUGGCGGGCAAGGGCCUUUCUGUGCGGAUUUUGCAUGUUCUCCCCGUGUCCGUGUGGGUUUCCUCCACAGUCCAAAGACAUGCAGGUUAGGUUAACAGGUGAAAAUUGACCAUAGGUGUGAGUGUGAAUGGUUGUCUGUGUCUAUGUGUCAGCCCUGUGAUGACCUGGCGGCUUGUCCAGGGUGUACCCUGCCCGUAGUCAGCUGGGAUAGGCUCCAGCUUGCCUGCGACCCUGUAGAACAGGAUAAAGCGGCUAGAGAUAAUGAGAUGAGAUUAAUUAUUUUGACUUCACUCAUCAUUUCCACAUCUAUCUAUCUAUCUAUCGUCGUGGAAAAAUGGCAAACACCAACACCAGUCUCGUCCUUUUGCAAGAGAAAGAAGGUUUAUUACAGAAACGGACAAGUGAUGAGGGUUCGGCACACCCCUCAUACCAUCUCCUUUGUUCUCAAAUCUAUAUAUACUCUUUACUAGAUAAAAAGGAGACAUCUAUUGCAUUACAUCAUUGCAAUUACAUGCCCUGAUCACGCGCUGGGUGCAUGAUCAGCUCUAAAGCUGAUUGGAUCGUCUCUAAUCGUUGGCUUGUAUGCACAUCUACAUGCGUCUGCUACGCACGUAACAAGCAUGAUAAGAUGAACAUGUUUCAGUGCCAAAUGUUCUGAAUCAUUAGUCCUUGAAGAGGCAACACUCAGUGAAAAGGAAAAUUACAAAACAGUAUGACACUAAAAUUUACUCUACAUUAUCUAUCAAUCUGUCUAUCUAUCUUCACAGUUAUUUCCAGAAAAUUAUUGGUUCUGGAACAGUUCACUCUUUCUGAGCCACUAAUGUGUGUGUGUGUGUGGUGGUGGUGUUGUACUAUAAUGAGCAUAAUUGAGUGGAUUAUACCAGUAGAGGGUAGCAGAGCCGGUCCUGCAAAACAAGCUGUCUGUUUUCUAAAGCAGUGAAUAAUCUGACUGUAAUGUGAAGUGUUUCACAAGGGAUGAAUCAGUAAACAAGCCUGCACCUGUUAGCUAUCGGGGCACCAAUAAACUAUUUGUUUAAUAAAGCCAGUUUGUGGCGACUUGUCCAGGGUGUACCCCACCUUUCACCUGUAGUCAGCUGGGAUAGGCUCUAGCUUGUCUGCGACCCUGUAGAACAGGAUAAAGCAGCUAGAGAUAAUGAGAGAUGAGAUGAGAUGAGAUGAGAUGAGAUGAGAUGAAAGCCAGUUUGUUAAUUUCACAUAUUUCUAUAAAGUCGUUGAGUUUUGAACUGCUUUUUUUGUCUCAAAUGACACAACAACUGAAUAACUUUUUUCCAUACAAUCAGCAAACUUUCCUGAAGAUACUGAAUAGAAGGAUUAUCUGGAUUUGGUUGGAAAAUUUCCCUGCUUUUGUGCACAAAAUAAAGUCAAUUUAUUUGUAUAGAGCUUUUCACAAUCGACAUUGCUGCGAAGCAGCUUGAGAGAAAAAUAGCUUUUAAAUAUACAGUAUGAAGUAAUAAAUUUCUCCCUGAUGAACAAGCCUGAGAUGAUGGUGGUGAGGGAAAAGGCGCUGAGACAACAUCAGGAAGAAACCUGGAGAGGAACCAUAUUCAAAAGGGAAUCCAUUCUCAUUUGGAUGAUAAGAUAGCAUGAUUAAAAAUAAAUUCCUUUCGUGCUUUCAAAUGUGGCCUGGUAUCUUUAAUACAGUACAUACCUGAACUAACAGCCUCAACCUAUAUUUAAAAUAACUUUGGCAGUGCUUUAUCUUUAGAUUCAGUUUUGAAUCAGCCCCAGCAAGCAUUGUUAGUACCAUAAAAACAAAUGUGCCGAGGGUGAAUGGGUAGCAGUUUGUAAAAGAUUUUAUGCAGCACACAUUCACAGUAAGAGCAUCUUUGUUCUGUUAAUUUUCUUACAGAAAAUAGCAUUUUGAUGAACUGAAUACUUUAAGUACUGAAAAACCAAUUAAAGGCCCUCUCCUGGGAUCCAAACUAUUCAAAGAGAACCUGCUUGUUUUGAAUUUUGUUUCUCAAAACAGUAGUAUGGCUGCUGGAGUCGUUCCCCAAGAGCAGGUGGUAAUUAUUAUCCUGUAUCUUAUUUACCUAAAACAUCUGUAGUUCAGGGCACGCCAUCAUGCCUUUGUGUGGUGGCUGCAGCAGCUCUCCUGGUCACUGAUGGUGAGAAACUGGCCCUCUCUCACACCCUCAUCUUUCACACUUCUCACCAGUUCUCAUCAAUUCCACUUUGGUAGCUGAUCUUGCUGAUGCUUGCUCAAAGCCUAUUUACUUAGCUGUCAUCAAGGUUAAAGGGCAUGACAUUUCUAACACACAAGUAGCUCAGGGCAAUGGGCUGGCAGAUGAAGUGGUUAAAUGGGCAGCCAAAAAGGGCACCUCCUUACCACAUAUUUGCACGGUCGCUGUGUAUUUCAUGUUUAGUAAUGUGCUCACUCCUGGCAUUGAUGUUGCUUUUCUCCAAUCUAGACCCACAGAAUGUGACCUGACACACUGGCAGAAGUGUACCCCAGGCCCUGAUGCCUGUUGAGGGACUUUACACAACGUCUAACGCUCCCGGCUUCUGUGUUACCAUUCCUCAUGUAACAUUAUCACGGUGUUUCUCAUGUCACCUGGAGAGGGGAAAUGAAUCUGCACUAUGCCAGUCUUUCAUACAAGACAUGACCCA